AGUCGAACGGUAGCACGAAGUAACUUGCUACCCCUGCUGACGAGUGGCGGACGGGUGAGUAAUGUCUGGGAAACUGCCUGAUGGAGGGGGAUAACUACUGGAAACGGUAGCUAAUACCGCAUAACGUCGCAAGACCAAAGAGGGGGACCUUCGGGCCUCUUGCCAUCAGAUGUGCCCAGAUGGGAUUAGCUAGUAGGUGGGGUAACGGCUCACCUAGGCGACGAUCCCUAGCUGGUCUGAGAGGAUGACCAGCCACACUGGAACUGAGACACGGUCCAGACUCCUACGGGAGGCAGCAGUGGGGAAUAUUGCACAAUGGGCGCAAGCCUGAUGCAGCCAUGCCGCGUGUAUGAAGAAGGCCUUCGGGUUGUAAAGUACUUUCAGCGGGGAGGAAGGUGGUGAGGUUAAUAACCUCAUCAAUUGACGUUACCCGCAGAAGAAGCACCGGCUAACUCCGUGCCAGCAGCCGCGGUAAUACGGAGGGUGCAAGCGUUAAUCGGAAUUACUGGGCGUAAAGCGCACGCAGGCGGUCUGUCAAGUCGGAUGUGAAAUCCCCGGGCUCAACCUGGGAACUGCAUUCGAAACUGGCAGGCUAGAGUCUUGUAGAGGGGGGUAGAAUUCCAGGUGUAGCGGUGAAAUGCGUAGAGAUCUGGAGGAAUACCGGUGGCGAAGGCGGCCCCCUGGACAAAGACUGACGCUCAGGUGCGAAAGCGUGGGGAGCAAACAGGAUUAGAUACCCUGGUAGUCCACGCCGUAAACGAUGUCGAUUUGGAGGUUGUGCCCUUGAGGCGUGGCUUCCGGAGCUAACGCGUUAAAUCGACCGCCUGGGGAGUACGGCCGCAAGGUUAAAACUCAAAUGAAUUGACGGGGGCCCGCACAAGCGGUGGAGCAUGUGGUUUAAUUCGAUGCAACGCGAAGAACCUUACCUGGUCUUGACAUCCACAGAACUUAGCAGAGAUGCUUUGGUGCCUUCGGGAACUGUGAGACAGGUGCUGCAUGGCUGUCGUCAGCUCGUGUUGUGAAAUGUUGGGUUAAGUCCCGCAACGAGCGCAACCCUUAUCCUUUGUUGCCAGCGGUUAGGCCGGGAACUCAAAGGAGACUGCCAGUGAUAAACUGGAGGAAGGUGGGGAUGACGUCAAGUCAUCAUGGCCCUUACGACCAGGGCUACACACGUGCUACAAUGGCGCAUACAAAGAGAAGCGACCUCGCGAGAGCAAGCGGACCUCAUAAAGUGCGUCGUAGUCCGGAUUGGAGUCUGCAACUCGACUCCAUGAAGUCGGAAUCGCUAGUAAUCGUAGAUCAGAAUGCUACGGUGAAUACGUUCCCGGGCCUUGUACACACCGCCCGUCACACCAUGGGAGUGGGUUGCAAAAGAAGUAGGUAGCUUAACCUCGGAGGCGCU
This 1402-nucleotide ribosomal RNA is filed under the name Enterobacter sp. DMS_B01. RNAcentral's name for it is "bacterial SSU rRNA". It matches the Rfam family "Bacterial small subunit ribosomal RNA". Lineage: Bacteria; Pseudomonadati; Pseudomonadota; Gammaproteobacteria; Enterobacterales; Enterobacteriaceae. The record is from RNAcentral.